This 353-nucleotide small RNA is filed under the name Pongo abelii (Sumatran orangutan). RNAcentral's name for it is "processed transcript". The record is from RNAcentral. Lineage: Eukaryota; Metazoa; Chordata; Mammalia; Primates; Hominidae.
UCAGGCCUCUGUCUCUGGUCCCCAGCCUCAGUGCCUCUUGGCCCAGGGCCAAGCAGUUGUGGUUGCAGAAGGAGCAAUUAGGCUGCCUGCCUGUGGACUGGGAGACGGGGACAGUGGGGAAAAGAAGGAGAGAUCCCAGCUGCCAAGUCUGGGGGUAGCAGACUGGAGCCCAGGGGUGAUGGAGACUUUUGAUGGCUUUUGGCAGGGACAGACUUGGAGACAAAACCGAUCCAUAGAAGGGCUUCCCAAACCUUGUUUAGCAACAUCCCAAAUUGUCUCCAGUUAAAGGAAGGCCUUUAUCAGAUUCAUAGAUGAGCUUUCAUUGUAAAAAUAAAUGUACUUUGGACCACUUC